This 528-nucleotide ribosomal RNA is filed under the name uncultured bacterium. RNAcentral describes it as "bacterial SSU rRNA". It matches the Rfam family "Bacterial small subunit ribosomal RNA", at positions 777 to 1304 of the family's 1533-position model. The record is from RNAcentral.
AAUAGAUACCCGGGUAGUCCAUGCCGUAAACGUUGGGCGCUAGAUGUGGGGACCAUUCCACGGUUUCCGUGUCGCAGCUAACGCAUUAAGCGCCCCGCCUGGGGAGUACGGCCGCAAGGCUAAAACUCAAAGGAAUUGACGGGGGCCCGCACAAGCGGCGGAGCAUGCGGAUUAAUUCGAUGCAACGCGAAGAACCUUACCAAGGCUUGACAGUAUACGGAGAACGCUCUAGAAAUAGAGAACUCUUUGGACACUCGUAUACAGGUGGUGCAUGGUUGUCGUCAGCUCGUGUCGUGAGAUGUUGGGUUAAGUCCCGCAACGAGCGCAACCCUCGUUCUAUGUUGCCAGCGGUUCGGCCGGGAACUCAUAGGAGACUGCCGGGGUCAACUCGGAGGAAGGUGGGGAUGACGUCAAAUCAUCAUGCCCCUUAUGUCUUGGGCUUCACGCAUGCUACAAUGGCCGGUACAAAGGGCUGCAAUACCGUAAGUGGAGCGAAUCCCAAAAGCCGGUCUCAGUUCGGAUUGAGGU